Molecule: long non-coding RNA, 3540 nt
Organism: Syngnathoides biaculeatus (alligator pipefish)
Lineage: Eukaryota; Metazoa; Chordata; Actinopteri; Syngnathiformes; Syngnathidae
Exons: 3
Source: RefSeq, a predicted model, not a curated record
UAUCCCAUAGUUCUGGAUUUAAAAACAUAACAUGUCUACUGAAAAAAAAUCCACAUGAAAAGAGAGGUAAAUUUAGGCUUGUUUUCUUUUAAAAUGUUUGAUUUUCAAUUACUGUCUGCUCAAUGUUGUAUUUAUUGCAGCACUAAUGCCGCUAGGGUCUUUAAAAAGAGUUCACAUGGAUGACGUGACACAGGUGUAUGCUUUUAUAGCAGGGGUUGGGAACCUGUGGCUCGCGAGCCAUCCCUGGCUCUUUUGGUGGUUGCAUAUGGCUUGCGGAGCCCUCAUGACGACAGACUGUAGAUGUGAUUUCUGUCGUACAGAGAAGGUUUGUCCUAGUGGGGUUGUUGUAGUUAGGUGUGGGAGGCAACGGAAAUAACAUAGAGACAGUUUGGCCUAGUGGGGUUGCCGUAGUUUUUGCGUGGUAGUCGAUGUCCAGCGGUGCAAAAGGGUCCAACGGUGAUCGUGUCGGAAAAACUAAUUAUGAAAACGGUUUUGACAAAGGUUGCUCAGAGCAAAAAAACAUGAGGAAUACCGAAGUUUUCAACAAGAAUGGACAGCCUUUGAGAGGGGGGUUUCUGCUGUGUGUUUAAAUUCACAGAUAGGGAGUAUGCCAAAGCAUUUAUUUUCGACCUUGCCAAUAAACAUUUUGCCAACUUUGCAUAAAGACAAGAUAAUCACACAAAUAAAAGACAUGGCUUUGUCGGUAAGAACUGUUCACCAUUGUACCGGCAUGAUGGCAAAUCAAAUUGAAUAACGGUCACGAUAAACGAAUAGAAGUCUCAAUGCCUUCGUGACGAUGUAUGAAACAAACUCCAAAGCCAUCAUUAAUGGUAAGAAGUACUUUUGUCAUCAUUGGUGAGCAACAGUGUAACAAUGUUAUUUAAAAUAAUUCAGAGACUUAUUGGACUUUGAAAGUGUUGGUAUUACAUAAAUGUGCAAAUACACCUGUACUUAGUUUUUAAAAUACUGUAUGUGUCACGUCCCAUCGGAAACGAGAGUAGGACCCAAAUGCAGGAAAGGGUCGGAAUACGCAAGGUAGUUCAAGAAGAGACACGUUUAUUGUAUGCAGAGGUCGGGGAUCGAGCAGGCAGUCCGGUGCAGCAGCGGUAGUUGGGACGUCGAGCGACGAGAACAGAUGAGCGAACAGGCAGGAGUCGGUACACGGGGAAACAAUCAACGCAGCCAGAAGUGUCAAGGAGUCAGGCUUACAGGGUUGGUCGGAGAACGGACGAAGGUCGGUACGCACAGGUUCAGUCAGGAAUACGAGAGUGCUGGAACGGGACAUAAAGCUCAACGAACUGGCGGAGGACCAGUCGUCACCGGGUCCUAUAUAUACGGGGGAUGAUCAGGCCGCAUGAGGCACAGGUGUGUGCCUCCCAAUCAGCGCAGCCGCACAGCUCGUGCUGAAGCGGCAGGAUCAUGACAGUAUGGCUCUUUUGAAAUUACAAUUUUAAAUAUUUGGCCUUUAUGGCUCUCUCAGUCGAAAAGGUUCCCGACCCCUGUUUUAUAGGCUUACUGUAUGGUGGAGACAUCGUAUUUUUGGCAGAUUUUGAUGUGCACGGAUGCCUAGCGCCGUGUUUGUCCUAUUUGAAGUGAUAACACCUUAAUAGCAGUGAUUUUUCAGGAUAUAAAAUUUAUGAUUGAUCAUUAUUUUGAGGCAGUAGCAGUUGUGUUUAUGUGAGAGUGCAAAGAUAUGUGACAGCAAUAUCAGGUGUAAAACCAACUUCAAGAAAGUGGUCUUUAGAAACUCGAGCUGUUUAUUUUUUUUCCCUGACAAGUUGUUAUUUUGGAGGUGCAAGUAUUCCACCCAACAGUGAUCAUAUAUAAAAUAGACGUAAAUAGUGCCACUUUAUACGAUAGUACAAAGUAUGAAAGGUGGGGAGAUUUAAAACAAAAAGCAGAUCACAGACGAAUGAAUCGCUCUUCAGUUACUCAGUAUACUAGUCCACCAUUUUACUGAACAAAUCACUCAAUUCACUUAAGUCCCUCCCCCUCACGCUGGCUGCUCAUUGGUUAUUCGCUGAAGUGAGUGACAACGCCGGCAAGUCGCAAAUCGCAUGGCAGUACAUUUAAUGCAGUUCCGCCCCCACCAACACGCUUGUUGCACAUUGGUCAUUUGCCGAAGAUUUAAAAGUCACAAACACUUCAACAGUUCUGUUUUUGCUCCGAGGCGACUCGCUCGCAUCCCAGUGGUGGCCAGGUGAAAAGAACAAAUCAUUUCAUAAACUGAUUCGGGUCACUUCAUUCAUGAAAAAGAUUCAUUCUUCUUAACGAAUCUUUCGGGAAAGAACCAAACACAAUCUGGACUGAGAGCCGUUUUCCCCGCAGCAAACACAUCACGAGAAACAAGACAAACCCUGAGAGGAUGAAUGCUUUGGCAUCACAAAGACAGAGAAUAGGCACAAUCUGAUCAAUCUGAGUAUGUAUUGUUAGAAGACCUCCUUUGAGUGAGAACAGAAGCAAGCUGGCUGCCGUGGAAACAAAAAGGCCUUGCAGGGCAAAGCCUGCGCACUAAGUCACACCUGUUCCUCUUUUGCAAGAUCCACAGGUGGCAAACAGCUGGCCACAGAGAAGCAAACGAUGUUAGGAAAUGAUGUUAACAAGCGUCUGCCAGAUAAAAUGGCAAGACAAAAACCAAACAAGCAAACAUGUUGAAAAAUAGUUUACGGCUUUGGAGAAAAACUCUAUUAAAGUCAUUUCAGAAAGCAGCAAAAGGAAAAUAAAUCCUUGAAUGAUAACAUUCUCAAAAGCCUUCUCUAACUUUAUUCCUUUUGGGCGGAGAUAAAAAUGAUCAAGAACAAGGACUAGAUCUGAACUUGAACAUCAAACCGAACGGCUAAAAGCACUGUGCCACAGUAUCUGUACAGAAUGUACAAUUCCAAAGAGUAGGCGUUUAUACAGUAUAUGAGGAAAUAUUUGUGAGUGGGGAUUGUCAAGGAUGUGUGUGUGUGUGUGUGCGUGCGCAGGUGGCAUGGUUGAGGGGCAAAGGUUAAUUUCGCCCUGCAGUGAAGAGCCCUUGAUCAAGAGCAGACUGAUCCCUGUUUAAUUACCUUCCGUCUACAUUUGAGCAGUUCACACUGGGUCAUGUGUGUGCAUCACUGAGCGUGUUGGGAAUGGAUGAUUUUGGCUUCUGGGGCACACACUGACAGAGUCAGAUGGGAAGAUGAGCCAUGUCUUAAGUUUACAUUAAGAUGCGUAAGGGCUGGUUUGUUUUGUGAGUGCUUGUUGUUUGUUAGUGCAAUCCUGGUGGAGAAGUGUGAUGGGUUGUUUGUGCAUUGAGGAUGUCGAGUGGAAAUGAGGAGUUUAAAAAGUUGGAAAGUUGUGGUGUGAAAUGAGUGACAUUUUUUACCUCGCCCUGUACAUGACACAUUCCCUCUUGCUGUCCAAUUUUAAAAUUUGUCUUAAAAGCCGUUUUUAUUACUUGGCUUUGAAUACAGUGCUAAGUUCUGCCCUUGUUUUAGUGUCUUGUUUUGUUUUUUUAAACGUUUUUUAGAUUUCGUUAGUUUUUGUGGUUAUGUUUUAUGUUUGUCUUUUAUUAUA